CCUACGGAUGGCAGCAGUGGGGAAUAUUGGACAAUGGGGGGAACCCUGAUCCAGCCAUGCCGCGUGUGUGAAGAAGGCCCUCGGGUUGUAAAGCACUUUCAGUGAGGAAGAACGCCUGGUGGUUAAUACCCAUCAGGAAAGACAUCACUCACAGAAGAAGCACCGGCUAACUCCGUGCCAGCAGCCGCGGUAAUACGGAGGGUGCGAGCGUUAAUCGGAAUUACUGGGCGUAAAGCGCGCGUAGGUGGCUUGAUAAGCCGGUUGUGAAAGCCCCGGGCUCAACCUGGGAACGGCAUCCGGAACUGUCAAGCUAGAGUGCAGGAGAGGAAGGUAGAAUUCCCGGUGUAGCGGUGAAAUGCGUAGAGAUCGGGAGGAAUACCAGUGGCGAAGGCGGCCUUCUGGACUGACACUGACACUGAGGUGCGAAAGCGUGGGUAGCAAACAGGAUUAGAUACCCCUGUAGUC
Molecule: ribosomal RNA, 465 nt
Filed under: Vreelandella stevensii
Lineage: Bacteria; Pseudomonadati; Pseudomonadota; Gammaproteobacteria; Oceanospirillales; Halomonadaceae
Description: partial 16S ribosomal RNA
Rfam family: Bacterial small subunit ribosomal RNA
Source: RNAcentral